RNAcentral lists this ribosomal RNA (425 nucleotides) under Veillonella parvula. Its description in RNAcentral is "bacterial SSU rRNA". It matches the Rfam family "Bacterial small subunit ribosomal RNA", at positions 28 to 419 of the family's 1533-position model. Lineage: Bacteria; Bacillati; Bacillota; Negativicutes; Veillonellales; Veillonellaceae. The record is from RNAcentral.
GACGAACGCUGGGCGGCGUGCUUAACACAUGCAAGUCGAACGAAGAGCGAUGGAAGCUUGCUUCUAUCAAUCUUAGUGGCGAACGGGUGAGUAACGCGUAAUCAACCUGCCCUUCAGAGGGGGACAACAGUUGGAAACGACUGCUAAUACCGCAUACGAUUUAAUCUUGGCAUCGAGGAUAGAUGAAAGGUGGCCUCUACAUGUAAGCUAUCACUGAAGGAGGGGAUUGCGUCUGAUUAGCUAGUUGGAGGGGUAACGGCCCACCAAGGCGAUGAUCAGUAGCCGGUCUGAGAGGAUGAACGGCCACAUUGGGACUGAGACACGGCCCAGACUCCUACGGGAGGCAGCAGUGGGGAAUCUUUCCGCAAUGGAACGAAAAGUCUGACGGAGCAAACGCCCGCCGUGAAGUGAAUGACGGGCCCUUC